GGAGAGGUGGCAGAGUGGUCGAAUGUACUUGACUCGAAAUCAAGCAUAGGUUUAUAGCCUAUCGAGGGUUCGAAUCCCUCCCUCUCCGCCA
Molecule: transfer RNA, 91 nt
Filed under: Gallionella sp.
Lineage: Bacteria; Pseudomonadati; Pseudomonadota; Betaproteobacteria; Nitrosomonadales; Gallionellaceae
Description: tRNA-Ser
Rfam family: tRNA
About the family: Transfer RNA (tRNA) molecules are approximately 80 nucleotides in length. Their secondary structure includes four short double-helical elements and three loops (D, anti-codon, and T loops).
Source: RNAcentral